GUCCCAAGGGUAUGGCUGUUCGCCAUUUAAAGCGGUACGUGAGUUGGGUUCAGAACGUCGUGAGACAGUUCGGUCCCUAUCUGCCGUGGGUGUAGGAAUAUUGACAGGAUCUGUCCCUAGUACGAGAGGACCGGGAUGGACGUAUCUCUGGUGGAUCUGUUGUCCUGCCAAGGGCAUAGCAGAGUAGCUAUAUACGGAAUGGAUAACCGCUGAAGGCAUCUAAGCGGGAAACCAACCUGAAAACGAGUGUUCCCUAUCAGAGCCGUGGAAGACGACCACGUCGAUAGGACGGGUGUGGAAGUGCAGUAAUGCAUGAAGCUUACCGUUACUAAUAGCUCGAGCGACUUCUUCGUUCCCAUU
Molecule: ribosomal RNA, 360 nt
Filed under: Agrobacterium tumefaciens
Lineage: Bacteria; Pseudomonadati; Pseudomonadota; Alphaproteobacteria; Hyphomicrobiales; Rhizobiaceae
Also listed under: 1 other name
Description: bacterial LSU rRNA
Rfam family: Bacterial large subunit ribosomal RNA
Source: RNAcentral